Plutella xylostella (diamondback moth) is the source of this 2723-nucleotide non-coding RNA. The record is from RefSeq and is a predicted model, not a curated record. NCBI's taxonomy places the organism in Eukaryota, Metazoa, Arthropoda, Insecta, Lepidoptera, Plutellidae.
AGAUUGUGUAUGAGCCACUCAUACAUGAGACUAUUUGAUGACAGCGCGUACAUGCGCGCCCUCAAUUAAGGAAGUCGUGACAUCUUUGUAAAUACACGAUUAUUACAUUUACGACUAUUAUAAGUUUAAGCUUUAGUACAUUAUAGACCUUUAUACGUAUCGGUUAUGUAUUCAUUCUGACACCCUGACAUCCUGACAUCUCUAAUUGACAAUAAUCUUAUACAGAGUGUGACAUUGCAUACCGCUCUGUACAUUGGUCCUUCGAGCCGGAUCACACCGCUCUAGGCCCUGAGUGUGAAAAAACUCGCACUCAGGGCCCUGUACAUUGGUCCUUCGAGCUAUCGAGCUGGACCCCGCGAAACGUACGGCAAACGGGUUUAGUGACAUUAAUUCUCGGCCGCCGACGGAGAUCACUGGUGUAAGGUGUGCAGUCUCCCACGGUUCCUGAGAGGUCCGCGCUGCAGUUCACACCGCAGACCAGCCGCUCGCCAGGUUGUGAGUGAACGCCAGCAGCUGCCGCAAUUCAAGUAAGAUCUUUCCAUUCUUACAUUCCUGACAUUAUGGAGAAUUUGCUUAGUCGUCAAAAGGCGAUUAUAACAGCAAAUACGCAAACUCGCGACAAUUUCAAAAAAGACUCUGCGCAUAGAAAGACAGAGGCCUAGUUGCAACAACAUAUUGACACUAUCAGCAACCUCUGGAGAAGAUAAUCAUGUAAAAUUAGAAACAUCCCCUGACAAGUCGCAUGAUUAUUUCACUAAAAACAUCAAGGUUAUGCAAUUCAAAUGACAACUCCGCUGAUUGAAGAAAUGCUGAUGAAGCACAGUUCAAUAACCCGGUGCGUACGAAUCAUGUGUUGGGUUUCGCGUUUCAUUACCGCUACUCGGGGCAAGGUCAAUGUUACUAGAACUGCCUACUUGACACAAACCGAAAUAGAAACUGCAUAUAAUUGUAUCGUAAAAUCGGUUCAGGCGCAGACGUAUGAAACUGACAUGAUUUCUACAUUUGACACAUCUGACAUUCUCAAUAAAAUUGACAUAUUUUUGACAAGAAAAUUGUGGAGCCUAGGAGAGGUUCUACUUGCAGGAACAGCACAAAUUGCAGUGCAAAUGACAAAUUGACAUAUCUUUUACAAGAAGAUUGUGGAGCCUAGGAGAGGUUCUACUUGCAGUAACAGCACAAUUGCAGUGCAAAUGACAAAUUGACAUAUCUUUUACAAGAUGAUUGUGGAGCCAAGGAGAGGUUCCACUUGCAGUAACAGCACAAUUGCAGUGCAAAUGACAAAUUGACAUAUCUUUUACAAGAUGAUUGUGGAGCCUAGGAGAGGUUCUACUUGCAACAUGACAUUAAUUCUCGGCCGCCGACGGAGACCACUGGUGCAAGGUGUGCAGUCUCCCACGGUUCCUGACAUUCUCAAUAAUCUCACCUGCAGGGAAUUUGGGAAGCUGCCGUGCGCAGCAUGAAGCGUCAUCCGAAGCAAGUAUUGACAUUAGAAGAGUUCUCGACACUUUUGACACAUUGAGGCUUGUCUUAACUCGAGGCUCUGUAUGAAUGUACUGAGGAUGACGUCGUUUUGACACCGGGACAUUUAUUAUUAUAUUAUUAUUAAUUUUAUAACCAUAACAGAAAAUGACAUCUAAAUCUGCAUUAAGCAGAAUGACAACAAAUUGCUAUGGCCCUUAGAAAACCCCGUGUACAGCCUCAAAACACAUGAGUCAUUAUGCGACAUGCGUCUGAUUUUAAAUACCAAAUGACAUUAAUUACUGUCGGUCUGAGACAAAGAAAUGCACAGACACAUAGGUCAAGUUACACGCACGCGACUCUUGGUUGUUUACAUGCUGCCAGGAAUGCUACGUUCGCAUUUUAUGCCCAGCUGGAGUAUCGACGAAACGCUUACAAUGCAUGAGAAUCAUUGCACUAGGUCAGGGCUGUGUUAUGAAAAUGAAGAUUGACACAAUAAAACCUUAUAUUAUAUCAUCCCCACUGAAUGAGAUUAUCAACACGACGUUGCCACACUAUACAGUUAACACAGAACAUACUCAAUUAUACAAUGAAAUACAGAAAAUUGACAUACUAUUUACUAAUGAUGAGCUACCUCACCACAUCGUGAACUACAGUAUUUCAUCAGCACUAGUAGCGGUGAUACUUUUGUACACCCUGUAUAAAUUAAAGCAAAGAUGCAAGAAGCGGCCGCGUACGCGAGAGGAGCCUCCGAUCGAGAUGACCCGGCGGAGGCCGGGAGUGAGUGAGUGCAAGUGCAGUGUUGCUAAUGAGGUAGUGCCCUGUCAUAUACAAGUAGCCUCACCAGUGAAGUGUCGUGACUCAAAUCAAUCUUUGAACAAUCUAAAUAAAUCGACGUCCUCAUUCAUGAUAGACCAUACAGUGACAUUUGAUUAAGACAUUUUGCAUUAGAUCUUGUAAUUAGUUAUAGUUAGGAAUAGAACUAACUUGCACUAAACUAUUGUUACUGCACAUUGACUAACGUGAUGACAUGUAAAUAUUUAAGACUAGACUUAACCUUGAUUCAGUUAAUUAGUUAACCUAGGUAGCUUUCGUUCUCUUGGGUGGCAGUAUGUAUGAGCCACUCAUACAUGAGACUAUUUGAUGACAGCGCGUACAUGCGCGCCCUCAAUUAAGGAAGUCGUGACAUCUUUGUAAAUACACGAUUAUUACAUUUACGACUAUUAUAAGUUUAAGCUUUAGUACAUUAUAGACCUUUAUACGUA